GACGAACGCUGGCGGCGUGCUUAACACAUGCCAGUCGAACGGAAAGGCCCCUUUGGGGGUCCUCGAGUGGCGAACGGGUGAGUAACACGUGAGUAACCUGCCCUUGACUUCGGGAUAACUUCAGGAAACUGGGGCUAAUACCGGAUAGGAAUCCUUGCUGCAUGGUGGGGGUUGGAAAGCUUCGGCGGUUUUGGAUGGACUCGCGGCUUAUCAGCUUGUUGGUGGGGUAGUGGCUUACCAAGGCUUUGACGGGUAGCCGGCCUGAGAGGGCGACCGGCCACAUUGGGACUGAGAUACGGCCCAGACUCCUACGGGAGGCAGCAGUGGGGAAUAUUGCACAAUGGGCGGAAGCCUGAUGCAGCAACGCCGCGUGCGGGAUGACGGCCUUCGGGUUGUAAACCGCUUUCAGCAGGGGCGAAGCUUGUGGUGACGGUACCUGCAGAAGAAGCACCGGCUAACUACGUG
Molecule: ribosomal RNA, 465 nt
Filed under: uncultured bacterium
Lineage: Bacteria
Description: partial 16S ribosomal RNA
Rfam family: Bacterial small subunit ribosomal RNA
Source: RNAcentral